GCCGGUAUAGCUCAGCUGGUAGAGCAACUGACUUGUAAUCAGUAGGUCCUGGGUUCGACUCCUAGUGCCGGCACCA
Molecule: transfer RNA, 76 nt
Filed under: Zooshikella harenae
Lineage: Bacteria; Pseudomonadati; Pseudomonadota; Gammaproteobacteria; Oceanospirillales; Zooshikellaceae
Also listed under: 1 other name
Description: tRNA-Thr
Rfam family: tRNA
About the family: Transfer RNA (tRNA) molecules are approximately 80 nucleotides in length. Their secondary structure includes four short double-helical elements and three loops (D, anti-codon, and T loops).
Source: RNAcentral